GUAGGUGAACCUGCGGAAGGAUCAUUAUUGAAAUUAUAGGCGAGGGUUGUAGCUGGCCUCUCGGGGCAUGUGCACGCCCGAGCCCCUUAAUCCCACACACACCUGUGAACCUAUUGUAAGGGCCCGUAAAAAAGGCCUUUACGUCUUUAUCACCUACCCGAAGUCUCAUAGAAUGUAAACGUAUGUCCUCGCCUUAAAAAAGCGUUGAUAAAAUUUAUACAACUUUCAACAACGGAUCUCUUGGCUCUC
RNAcentral lists this unclassified non-coding RNA (249 nucleotides) under rhizosphere metagenome. RNAcentral describes it as "partial ribosomal RNA internal transcribed spacer region". The record is from RNAcentral.